AGGAACACGGUAAUAAGAGCGGAGGUCAGAGAGCAGGGGUGCCUGGAGAGGGCCCAGCUCUGGAAGGGUCGGUGAGUCAUUACAAUGACUUUUGCUUCACUCUGUGUGAGAUGGCGAGCCACCGGCAGGUUGGAGCAGAGAGGAGGCAGCAUCUGACUAUUAUUCGAAAAGCAACCCCCUACGGCCACUCCAUUACCGGGGUUAUAGCUCAUUUAGUCCUCACCAGGAUGCCGCCGAGCAAUGAGGAUUUGUAACUGAGGAAACUGAGGCAUGAAGUGACUUGCUCAACAGCCACCUGUCUGUCUCCAACACCAUGCAACUGCACAGAGAUAAAGAAACUGAAGCCCCAAAGGACAAUGACUUGCUCACGGCCAGACCCUAAAUAUCAACAAAGGACCUUGAGCUCUUUCAGAAUACUCUAAUAUGUCUUCAGACCCUGUGAUCUCCCAGCCUGGUGGUUUCUACUUGACUCACUGAGAGCCUGCCUUGCACCAGACACAGUCUCCACUCAAGGAAUUAACAGCCAAGUGGAAGAAGUCCAUCUGCCAGGACACCUGAGUGGCAGGUGUUACUACAGGGUGGCCCCUCGACCCUACGUGUUGAGAGACCAGAUAGAUCUGCCGGACCAGCCCUCCAGACAUCCUAGACUGGCCUGAGUGCUCUGUCCUAGAGACUGGCCCUGCACGCAUGGCUCUCUGCAGCGGGACUCUGCCAGUGCCAGAGGGGACGUAAUCCAGCUAUAGUUCACGAUGAUCAACCCAUAUUCACUGGAGGCGUGGUGAAGUUUCUAGAAAUGUGGGGUAGGAGAAACAGCUGAAUGACUUGGACGAUUUGUCUUGGGGAGGUAUUAGUGCAGAUACGAUAUUUGUCUUUGGACAUCUGAAUGGUCAUCUCAUAGGGAAAAAGUAACAAGCAUGCUCUGUGGAGCUCCGACAUAAAUAGCCAGCUCUGAAAUGUGUAAAAUGAGUUGAAACAUAUUUUGGUUUGUGGUAAGGCCGCACUGCCUGACAAUUUAAGCCAUCCAUAAAUGAAAUGAGCUGCUUAGAAAAGGAACAAUUUCUCUGUCAUUGGAGGUGUUCCCAGCAUAUUCCUGAAGGCCAGGGGGCAAGAGUGUUGCCAAAAUUACGCCCACUUUGGUAGGAAGUUGGAGAAGAGGUUGAGUUCUUUCUGAAUCUAUGGUUCUCUAACCUGCUGGAUCUUUGUUCAGAUCGCGAGGCUGCUCUGUGUCACCCGUGUAAGUACAUAGAUCCCUGAAGAUCAAAAGACAGAGAAGAAAAUGCAGGGGACUUGAGUCCGUCGUUAUCUAGGCUUCCUUUCUGAAUUUAUUUCAUGAAAUGGAUGAGACUCUGGAAAUUGUGUUAUUUCCCUAGACAAACUAUCCUAGUUUAUAUCCCUUAUCAGAAAGAUUUCCGUUUUCUUCCUCGUAAAUCUCUAGGCCUAACUCUUAAGCCCAUUCCUUCUGGCUUGAUGCUCCGUGAAUAUGAAGAACAAUCAAUCAUAUCCCUCAUUAUACCAAUUCAUAUAACUAAAAACGCGUCGCGUAAAGCUUCUCUCCUCUAGGCUGAGAAAUUCCAGUUCAUUUCCUGCUCUUCUUAAGUGCUCUUUCUAAUGAUCACUUCCCUGAGUUCCUCUAAAAGUUCUCUAAGACCGAGCACAGAACUCAUAAUGACUCUAUUUGCUAUAACAGUGUUCCCCAAAAUGUGUUCCGUGGAACAUUACUUAAUGUUUUUUUUUUUUUUAAGUGCCCUGUGAUCCGAUACAUUUGGAACAUUCCAGUCUAAGUGAAGUUAAUAAGAUUCAUCAGAGCUCUCCCUGUGCAUUAUGAAUCUCCUAGACAGGGAUGCAAUAUGUAGCAUCUCCCCAAACUUAUGUGCACAGAGAUCUCUUUUAGAGCAUCUCAAAGGCCUCAUGUUCCACCACAGAACACAACCUAGCACGUGUUCCACUAUAAAAUGAUGCUCCCCCCCCCCCCCCGCCACACACACACACCACAGAGCUCUCCAUCCUUGAGCCCUUUCCUAGCUAUGUGAUCAGGCCUCCCUCUCCUUCCCUCAGGAACCACCUCCCCAGCCAGGUUUGUCUCACAGCCCCACCUUCCUGCCACCACCUCUGUUGGCCAGACCCAAACUUCAGUCCCAGGCUAAGCUAAUGUGGUAUAACAGAGUCCUGAUGAGCAACGGAGGUGCCCAGGAUCUCAACCAGGGCAACCCCUUCAAGAGCCAGAGAAGACUAAGAAUGGCCCAGGUUGGCUUUCCCACAGCAGGAGAGAGAAAGUGCUGGGUCUGUAGCUCCCAGUUCAGUGCUCCUAAAGCUCACCAGGGAGCUGGUCCUCAAGCCGGGAACUCACUGCAAAACCAUUUUCCUGGGCCUCACUUCAACCUCGUGAAUCAGACUCUCUUAAAAGCCUUUUUUUUUAGCCCGCAAGAUAUCCUAGGGCUCUGCCAGGUUUGGGAACCACCACAUCACAUAGCACCAGCUCCAAAAGCAGGGUCACACAUAAGUCCAAUUUGGCCUCUGCUCCCAAUUUAUUUACUAGUCUGGGGAAUUCAACUUAUCUGAGCCUCUGUUUCUCCAUUGGUAGAAUGAGUCAUUUGGACCACCGGUUGACCUGUAAGAUUCCUUCCAGCAAUUUGAUUCUGUCAUUACUAAGGGCUACCUUAGUUGUGCUCAAUGUUUACCCAUCUAUUCUGGCUGGCACUAUUUCUCCUGACUCUGAGUAUUUACAUAACUAUCUUUGCAUAACCAUAACCAAAGCAUAAUAUAUAUGUAAAAUAUCUCCACCUUAUAAUAAUAUUUUUGGAGUGUCUCUGAUGGAACAGGUGCUUUACAAAGUUAUUGCUAAUGCUUACAACAAUCUUCAAGGUAUUAAUAUCCUGUUUUAAUAAAAAGAAACCAGGUGCCUACAAUGUGAAAUAAAAUUUUCAAGGUCAUGCCAUUUUUAAGCUGUGGAACUGGAUUUCCAAACCAGGUCUGCCUGAUUCCAGACACUAUGCUCUGUCCACAGUGCCACACUGCUUGUAAUGUGAGUCACGUUUCCUCAUUAAAGGUGUAAGUUUUCUCCUCAUGCAUCCCUUACAGCACCAGCACCUAGCUGAGUAUCAAGUAGGCACUCAAUAAAUAUUUGUUGACUUGAUUAGUGGAUUAACUCUCUCCUUCUACCUGGAGCAGAGACCACAUCUUUUCCAUGUUGUAAAAAAAAAAAAAAAAGAAAAGAAAAAAGUGCAAAACCCAGAGCCCAUCUGCAAGUUCUCAGUUAGCUCACAGGAGCAAAUUACAUCUGUGUAGACCGCACCUGUAGAUGGAAGCUUAAUUAAUAGGCUUAUCUUGGAUUGAAUGAGUCUAGGAUACAGUACCUUAGGCAAAAGGCACAGGGGAAUGUGUUGACUUGGAGGGGGCAUGUUUCAUUUCUCUCGUUUCAUACCAUUAAAACCAUGUUAAUGAAAAUGUAUUAUUGGUAGUAAUAAUAAUAAAGAUGAAAAUCCUCCCUU
This is a long non-coding RNA of Neofelis nebulosa (Clouded leopard), 3488 nucleotides long. RefSeq lists it as uncharacterized. The transcript has 4 exons. Lineage: Eukaryota; Metazoa; Chordata; Mammalia; Carnivora; Felidae. The record is from RefSeq and is a predicted model, not a curated record.